This 496-nucleotide ribosomal RNA is filed under the name uncultured bacterium. RNAcentral's name for it is "partial 16S ribosomal RNA". It matches the Rfam family "Bacterial small subunit ribosomal RNA", at positions 28 to 506 of the family's 1533-position model. The record is from RNAcentral.
GAUGAACGCUGGCGGCGUGCCUAAUACAUGCAAGUCGAGCGAACAGAUGAGGAGCUUGCUCCUCUGACGUUAGCGGCGGACGGGUGAGUAACACGUGGAUAACCUACCUAUAAGACUGGGAUAACUUCGGGAAACCGGAGCUAAUACCAGAUAAUAUAUUGAACCGCAUGUUUCAAUAAUAAAAUACGGGUUUGCUGUCGCUUAUAGAUGGAUCCGCGCCGCAUUAGCUAGUUGGUAAGGUAACGGCUUACCAAGUCAACGAUGCGUAGCCGACCUGAGAGGGUGAUCGGCCACCCAGGAUCGGACACACGCUCCAGACUACUACGGGAGGGAGGAAGAGGGAAUGUAUCGUAAUGGGCGAAAGCAUGACGGAGCCACGCAGCGUGAGUGCAGAAGGUCUUCGGUUCGUAAAACUCUGUUCUUAGAGAAGAACAAAUGUGUAAGUAACUAUGCCUGUCUUGACGGUACGUAAGAAGAAAGCCACGGCUACCUACGU